AUGUUUGAUUCACUCAAAAUAAUCUAUGAGAGAGACAAUAACCAGCAAAAAUGCACACUCCUAACUGAGUUUUACAACUUCAAAUUUAAAUCCAAGCAAAGUGUUAUUGAUAACAUCUCCGCUCUUAAGGACAUAACCUACAAGUUAAAUCGCUUAAACCAAAAUAUCGACGAUACCAUGCUCAUGACAAAAAUUUUAUCAGUUUUACCUGAAAGCUAUAAACAUUUUAGCAGUGCAUGGGAUUCUACUAGUGAGAAAGACAGAACCCUCAACAAUCUAGUUGGCAGAUUAGUUCAAGAGGAAGCUAAAUUAAAACUAUCAGAUGAAGAUACUGAAGGCGCAACUUUUCACGCUGCCGUCAAAUUUAAAUCUAACUUCAGUAAUAAUGUAACGUGUUAUGAAUGCAACAAGCGAGGUCAUCUAAAACGAGACUGUCCCAACUUGCAGACAAAUUGUACUCUGACAGAAGCGUGCAGGAGAAACGACAAUCAUCUGGCGAUAAAUUGUUUCUUUCAACGUGAAAAUCAAGGGAAAAGAAAUAACAAAACAGGUAACAGUAACUCUCGCAACAAUGAUAAAGAUGAUAAUAAAGCAGCCUUUUUUGCUGAAACUGAAAUAUUUUUAACUGAAAAUGAAACUAAAAGUGAGUUUUCAGACAACUGUGACAAAGUAAAUUUCAUUCUUGAUAGUGGUUCAACCAAUCACCUUAUCGAUGAUAAAUGUCUCUUUACCACCUCAGAACCGUGUAAAUUUGAUAUUAAAACUGCAAAGAAGAGCGCAACCAUUUCAGCAUCAAAUGUAGGCUCGAUAGUAUCUAAGACAUGUGAUCUAAACAAUGUGUACCAUGUACCCGAUUUAUCUAGGAAUCUUCUAUCCGUUAAUGCAAUAACCGAAAAUAAAGGCAAAGUAUAGUGUUUGACAAAAAUAAAGUGCAGAUCUUAGUUGAUAACCGCGUAGUUAUAGAAGGUCAUAAAACAAGUAAUGGUUUGUACAUCGUUGAUUUAAUUCCUGAGCGAGAAGUUCUUGUAGCUCAAUCCCACCAUGAUAGUGUCUACAAUGAGUGGCAUCGUAAAAUGGGCCAUUUAAAUGAAGCUUAUCUAAGGAAGCUGACCGAUCUAGCUGAUGGUAUUCCUCAUAAUAUUGUAAAAGCUGAUGAAAGUGUAUGCUCUGUGUGUGCCGAAGCAAAACAAACCCGACUGCCUUUUAAAACUGUUCGAGAACGUGCUGUUCGUCCAUUAGAGCUGAUUCAUAGUGACGUCUGCAAACCGAGCAAUCCUCGCACGCCUGAUGGCAAGCAAUAUUUCUUAACUAUCUUAGAUGACUAUACGCAUUUCUGCAAAGUGUAUCUAAUGUCUCAUAAAAAUGAAGCAGAAGAUUUUAUCAAAGAAUAUAUCUAUGAAGCAGAAGCUAAAUUCAUGACAAAGACAAGUAGAUUAAGAUGUGACAAUGGCGAGGAAUAUAUCUCUGAUAAUUUUAAAUCCUGGCUCAAAGAGAGAGGCAUCAAACCCGAUUACAGUGUACCAUACACACCACAGCAUAACGGUAAAGCUGAAAGACUAAAUCGCAGUUUAAUGGAAAAGACCCGAGCUCUCCUAUUCGACUCUGGUCUAAACAGUGAAAUGUGGGGCCAUGCUGUUCUAACAGCGGCCUACUUAUUAAAUCGAUGUCCAUCUGAAACUGUGAACAGAACACCAGCUGAACUUGGUACGGCCGAAAGCCAGAUUUAUCAAAUCUUAGAAUUUUUGGUUGUGUUGUUCACACUAAAGUUUUAGGUCCAUUACGGAAAGCUGAUAAACGAAGUAAAAUGGGUAUCUUUAUUGGUUAUAACACGAACAGUUACAGAAUACUUGACUCAGAAACAAGAAAGUUUACAGAUCAAGAGAUGUGAUUUUCACAAAUGAAUUUCCAAAUUCAUCGAAACAAGAUGAGGUACGUCACACCGCAAUUAAAAUAAAUGAUGAAAAUGAAGAAGAAGAUGAAAAUGCGAAAGAAAAUGAAAUUUUAAAUAAUAUAGACCAACAUGAAGACGAAAAUGAAAUUGUUGUAAAUGAAGAGCCGCAAAAUGAAGAAAACCAGCCGAUUCCUGAAAUGCCAAAUCUCAAACCAAAAAGAAGAAUAGUCCUACCACAGAAACUUAAAGACUAUGACUUGACAAGAAACAUCAGGUCACAAAUCAACUCGAAAACAACGGUGAAGCCCUGCUAACAUAUAGCGAAGUGAUUCAAUCCCCUGAUAAAAAAAAAUGGGAACAAGCAAUCCAAGAAGAAAAAGCAUCUUUAGCCAAAAACAACACAUGGGUAUUAGUGAAUCCUGAAGAAGCUCACGGCAAAGAACUUAUUACAAGUAAGUGGGUUUUUAAAAUUAAAGAAAAUGGUAAAUAUAAGGCUCGCUUAGUUGCCCGAGGCUUUCAACAAUGCAGUGAAAACCUUGCCUACAAAGAAAUUUUUAGUCCAGUAGUUGAAAGUAAUUCUCUUCGUAUUCUUUUUGCUAUUGCCGCAGAUAAGAAAAAUCAGUUAACCUUCUUUGACGUAAAGACUGCGUUCCUAUAUGGAGAACUUGAAACUGAAAUCUACAUGCAACUACCUGAAGGUUUUGAAGAAGGGAACGAUUUUUGUCUACUAAAAAAUCCAUCUAUGGAUUACGUCAAGCAUCCAACAAUUGGAAUAACGUUUCAUCACAACUCUCCGUAAAUUAGGUUUCAUGCCUUUAAAGACAGAUCAGUGCAUUUUCCACAACGCUGAAUCUGACAUUCAUUUAGCCAUCCAUGUAGAUGACGGUAUAGUAAUUGGUCAAGAUACAGACAAAAUUGAUAAAGUACUUAAAGCUUUGAAUGAAGAAGUUGAAAUGACGGUAUCAGCAAAUGCCAACUCCUACUUAGGAAUGGUAAUUGAAAAGAAUGAAAAAGGUAUUUUUGUUUCGCAAUUAAACUAUGCUAACCAGGUGCUUAAACGUUUUAAUAUGCAAAAUUGUAAACCAGUUAGAACACCGAUUCAACCUGACAGCAACAAUCAAACUGAAGAAGUCGUCGGAGACUUUCCUUACCGAGAAGCGAUUGGUAGCCUACUCUAUCUUUCUUGUAAAACUCGACCGGACUUAGCUCACAGUGUUAAUUUUGAAAGUCGAUCGAUGGAAAACCCUACUCAUCGAGAUAUUCAGAACGUAAAACGAACUUUACGAUACCUCAAAGGCACCUUAAAUUAUGGUCUUUUUUAUCCGGCUACUCCAGAAUGUGAAAUUAAAGCAUAUGCUGACUCGGACUACGCAGGCGAUUUGGUCAAACGUAAAGCACAACGGGCUACUUGAUUUUCUUCAAAGGAGGUCUCGUAGCAUGGAACUGUCAUCUUCAAAGUGUAACAGCCUUAUCGUCAAUGGAAGCUGAAUACAUUGCAUCCACAGAAUGUUGCAAAGAACUUAAAUAUUUGAAGACUCUCACAGAAGAACUUUGCGAUAAAACUGUAACCGCAACUCUGUACGCUGACAACCAAAAUGCUAUUCGACUCAUUGAAACUGCUCAGAUGGGGCGAGGUAGUAAGCAUAUAGAAGUUAGGUAUCACUAUAUCAGUGAGCAAUUUAAAGAUGGAGUUUUCUCCAUUGAGUACAUUCCAACGGAGCAUCAGUUAGCUGAUUUUCUUACAAAACCCUUAACUUGUGUUAAAUUUGAAAAUUUCAGAGACGCAAUAAUGGCGGCUAUUGAGUAAAUGUAUUUCUCUUAAUAUUUUUUUCUCUCUUCAGAUUAUUGAAUUAAAUUAAUUAUUUCAUUGAUCUUUCUUUUAAAGAGUCUUAAAAUGUAACUCACUCUUUCUAACUGAUUUUCUUUUUGAAGCUCUGAGCCUCAUUUCCUUUGUAUAUUCAAAUUACCAAAUUUUCCUUUAAGCGUCCUUUGAAUUCACUCCAUGUAAUUUUUUUUUAGUUUGCGCUAAAUAUUACUCAAAAAAAAAAAAUUGAAUGUUAUUUCCUUUGGCGCGCACUCUCUUUUGAUCUUAAAUGUUAUGGAAAUUUCCUUUUAUAUUUUUCUAUUCCGUAUUUUGUUUAAGUUAAAUAUUUUCUCUUAAAUAGUUUAUGAUUAAGGGGUAUGUUCCAUGUUAAUCAUAACCCCUAUGUUAUGUUGGUACUACGUAUAUUCUAGUUAUGUCACGUUGUCACUCUGAUUACCCAUAAUACAUUGCACACCUUGUUCAUGUUCGCAAGAGCAAAUCUUUGAGUUCUUAUUAAUUAAUCAAAGCCCUGAAUCAAACUAAAAUAAAGUCAAUUUAAAUCAAAUCGAUCGGAUUAGUGCCCUUCUUGCCUCUUGACGGGCAAUUGUAAUAAGUGCAUAAUAUCUAAAUACCUCAUAGUAAUUUUGCACUGUAAUAGAGCGUAUUAAAUGGCAAUACCGUCUGACAUAUUUACAUCUCAUUCUGGUGACACAGAUUGUGACGAUGAAUAUUUAAACCUCACUUUAAGUGAUUCUGAUUCAUUCAUCCCAAAUUACAACCUAAGGAAUAUAUAAUAAAGCGAAUAUGCAAAGAAUAAUGGUCAAAAACCACCAAAAACAAUUUUACAUAAUCUUGGCAACAUUGCAAUGCGGUUAGUUCCUUAUUUUUGAGCUCAGUACAUGAAUUCAUUGUAAACCUCCAUCAAUUUCAUUUCAUUUGUCAAUAGAUCGCUCUACAGACAGAAAAAGGAAGCAAUCGCCAACAAUCGCGAAAAUGCCAAUUUCUGCUCUUUUUCCAAAGUUUGGCACCCUUCAGCGAGUUUAAUUUUGCCAUGGGCAAGGAAUGUUAAGAAUCAAUUUUAUAGGAAAUUUAAUGAGGAUUAAUUUUGAAAAUGACUAAUUUUGUGGUCAGAUCAACUCCUCGCGAGUUACAUACCAUAAUACUCCAAAAAGCCAAUUAUAGGCAUUUUUUGAAAUAUUUGGCAACUUUCCAGUCCGAAAUUUUUGGUGUAAAGUUGAAAUUUGGAUUCAGCGUCAAAUAUUACAUAGGAAUUGCUGAAAACAUUGCUACCCGGGAUUUUUGCAGGCUAUGGCCCCUUUUUUAGUACGGUGGGUACGAUCGAAUAAUGGCCAAAACCCUGCACUUUUUGAUUGGAAAUUGCCGCUUUCAGGAAUCAUUCUUAUGGUCAUAAGAAGCCCUUUUGGAAGGGGAACCACUCUGGGGUCCGUGCAGGAACCAAGAUGGCGGCCGUUAAAGAUGGCCGCCAAGCGUUUUUUCAGCGCGCUAUAUCUCGGAAACUACGGGUCCGAUUUUCGUUUUCUUGGUCUCAUUUUGAAGCUAAAAUGCUUCUACAGAAGUCUACCUCAUGAAUUUUUUCGCCUAAGGCACACAUGAAUGGUCAUUAGGAAAAUUUUGAAAUUUCGCCCAAUUUUCAAGAGCGUUUAAUUAUUUAACACGCGAGAAAGUGGCGUUUUUGCCUUAAGUAACGGCGAUGGGAAAUUAUCUGACGUUUAAUUUGAUACCAAAACAAUUUUUUUGCGUCAAAAAAUGCACCCGCUAGAGCAAUUUAAGUGAAGCGCCGCGGUACGCGGUGCGCGGUGAAAACGGCGGAAAACGGGUAAUUCUCGUGCUACGCGAGUCAUACGUGCGCUAUAUCUCGGCACAUUCUCGUCCGAUUUUCAUUAUUUUGGGCUUGUGUAGAAGCUAUGUUGAAACUUAACUAGUGUAGAGGAUAUGUUUGCUUUUUUUCCUCCGAAUUUUCCGGGUAUUUCUCAAAAG
RNAcentral lists this long non-coding RNA (5693 nucleotides) under Bemisia tabaci. RNAcentral's name for it is "lncRNA ENSSWEETPG000230". Lineage: Eukaryota; Metazoa; Arthropoda; Insecta; Hemiptera; Aleyrodidae. The record is from RNAcentral.